AGUGACUGCUUCAUUAUGGAGUCAGUGCCUCUGAAAGCUUCGGUUACAAUCCGACAUGGAAGCAACUCACAUUAGACCAUCCAGAUGUCUUCACUGGAAGUCCAUGUUCAGCUCUUUGAUCAGCUGAAUAAAGGACAAGAAAGCUUUGAUUAUCUUGGCAGCCAAAGUAAGUCCAGAAGAAUUUUCAAUGCAUCUAUGCACCUGACCGAAUCGACCUCUGCAAGAUACUAUUCCAUUAACAACAAGAAGAACAUUCCCUUUGAAGAGAUGGAUUAACACCUAGUGAUUAGUGUCCAGCUGGUGUGGAGGUCUCCUUCUUCAGUUUGCUGAAAUCCAACUUGAUUUCCACACCAUCAGCUUUGAAAACACCACGGAGAUCUUCGGGUUCCUGUAGCUCCUGCUCGCCCUGGUCUUGCCCCUCCUCAACCCUGCUCUUCUUGUGGUCCUCCAAACCCAG
Molecule: long non-coding RNA, 457 nt
Organism: Ctenopharyngodon idella (grass carp)
Lineage: Eukaryota; Metazoa; Chordata; Actinopteri; Cypriniformes; Xenocyprididae
Exons: 5
Source: RefSeq, a predicted model, not a curated record